Molecule: ribosomal RNA, 485 nt
Filed under: uncultured bacterium
Lineage: Bacteria
Description: partial 16S ribosomal RNA
Rfam family: Bacterial small subunit ribosomal RNA
Source: RNAcentral
GAUUGAACGCUGGCGGCAGGCCUAACACAUGCAAGUCGAGCGGAUGAAGGGAGCUUGCUCCUGGAUUCAGCGGCGGACGGGUGAGUAAUGCCUAGGAAUCUGCCUGGUAGUGGGGGAUAACGUCCGGAAACGGGCGCUAAUACCGCAUACGUCCUGAGGGAGAAAGUGGGGGAUCUUCGGACCUCACGCUAUCAGAUGAGCCUAGGUCGGAUUAGCUAGUUGGUGGGGUAAAGGCCUACCAAGGCGACGAUCCGUAACUGGUCUGAGAGGAUGAUCGGUCACACUGGAACUGAGACACGGUCCAGACUCCUACGGGAGGCAGCAGUGGGGAAUAUUGGACAAUGGGCGAAAGCCUGAUCCAGCCAUGCCGCGUGUGUGAAGAAGGUCUUCGGAUUGUAAAGCACUUUAAGUUGGGAGGAAGGGCAGUAAGUUAAUACCUUGCUGUUUUGACGUUACCAACAGAAUAAGCACCGGCUAACUUCGUG